Molecule: long non-coding RNA, 637 nt
Organism: Zalophus californianus (California sea lion)
Lineage: Eukaryota; Metazoa; Chordata; Mammalia; Carnivora; Otariidae
Exons: 4
Source: RefSeq, a predicted model, not a curated record
UGUACACACAGCCCAGCUCAGAGUGGCAGAGCCUGAGAAGGGAAAGAACAGCUUUCACGUGGAAGGUAGAGCCCCACAUAGGGUACUGGAGCCCAGGAUGGGUAAGAAGAGUGUCUGCCUGGGGGAAGCACAGCAUGGAGGGUCAGAGCCCUAAUCUCCCUGAUGCAUCCAUUCGCAAUGAGUUCCCUGAGGUCACAUAGUUUGCUUCAAAUGGAGCAUGCAGUUCUACAAAGAAGACAUUAAAAUUGCUUUUUAGACAGCAACAAAAAGGAGAGAACUAUAGCUACGUGAAACAUCAUAAGAAUCUCAAAAACAUCCUCCACACUUAACCACCAUUCCUGACCAUCUGGCAGCUUAGGAACCACUGUGUCCCUUCAAGAAGAGUCUGACUAUUGGAGGAGGUCAACAAGAAGAUGUGACCAUCAGUUGACCCACAAGCCGGACUUGGGCAAAUGGGGGCUCCCCAUCCCCUCCUGUGUCCUUGGAAUGUGUAGUCCACUUGCCUUCCCUGCUCCCAGAAGCUGCACCCAGGAUAUAGCCUUGAGAUAGAAAUGUGGUGUUGAGGCUAGGCAGACCGGGUACAUAACUGAACCCAGUUCAGGCCUCUAUAUAACUUCUAAGAUUCUGGAGGGUGGGU